UAAAAGAUAUCACAUCUACCCAAAGAACCAAAGCUGCUUCUCACACUCUGCCUCUGUGGGCAGACACAAGGCACUGUGAUCUGACUGUUUGAUGCCAGUUCAAGUGACAAUAGAGACAGAGAGCUGAGACAGAACAGGAAAGAGGAAACCUGCUGCAAAAGAGAUGAAUGAGGGCAGAGAAAAGACUAAGUAACACUGUAGAAGGGAAUACCUUUGAGGGGGAGAAUAUUUAAAGGGAAAACGUUUAGCUGGAUGGAACAUAAGAUACAGUGAACUAUUUUCUCUGAAUGGCUUAAAUCACAACAUUCUCUUGAAUGGAUAUCUUGAAUGGAUAACUUCACAAUAAGUUUACAUACAGCAACAGGUCUAUCUGCACCUGAUCUGAAGAGCCAAAAAAGGAAAUGGGCUAUUACAGGGAGAAAGCGCUGUCCCGUGGUUACAGCCAGUGACUAGAGGUGACGAGCCAUAGGUUCUAAACUCUGCCAGGAAAAAUUUCAGUGUUCCCACACAAGCACUAAGUACAAUUUUUUGAAGAAGAUCCUGCUUUUAUCAAGAUUGGAUCAUCUUCAGCAGGACCAUAUCCUUACUAGGAUCACUAAUGUGAAAGGGAAGAAGAGCUGUCGUCUCUGUUUAUUACCCCAAAGCUGAAUUGACUUAUGCACAGCGGACAUUGACUAUACUGUU
This is a long non-coding RNA of Gavialis gangeticus (Gharial), 684 nucleotides long. RefSeq lists it as uncharacterized. Lineage: Eukaryota; Metazoa; Chordata; Crocodylia; Gavialidae. The transcript has 4 exons. The record is from RefSeq and is a predicted model, not a curated record.